UACGAAGGGUGCAAGCGUUACUCGGAAUUACUGGGCGUAAAGCGUGCGUAGGUGGUUUGUUAAGUCUGUUGUGAAAGCCCCGGGCUCAACCUGGGAAUGGCAAUGGAUACUGGCAAGCUAGAGUGCGGUAGAGGGUAGUGGAAUUCCCGGUGUAGCGGUGAAAUGCGUAGAGAUCGGGAGGAACACCGGUGGCGAAGGCGGCCCCCUGGUUGGAUACUGACGCUGAGACGCGAAAGCGUGGGGAGCGAACAGG
RNAcentral lists this ribosomal RNA (253 nucleotides) under uncultured bacterium. Its description in RNAcentral is "partial 16S ribosomal RNA". It matches the Rfam family "Bacterial small subunit ribosomal RNA", at positions 524 to 776 of the family's 1533-position model. The record is from RNAcentral.